AACGAACGCUGGCGGCAUGCCUAACACAUGCAAGUCGAACGAGACCUUCGGGUCUAGUGGCGCACGGGUGCGUAUCGCGUGGGAAUCUGCCCUCUGGUUCGGAACAACAGUUGGAAACGACUGCUAAUACCGGAUAAUGACUUCGGUCCAAAGAUUUAUCGCCUGAGGAUGAGCCCGCGUAGGAUUAGCUUGUUGGUGAGGUAAAAGCUCACCAAGGCGACGAUCCUUAGCUGGUCUGAGAGGAUGAUCAGCCACACUGGGACUGAGACACGGCCCAGACUCCUACGGGAGGCAGCAGUGGGGAAUAUUGGACAAUGGGCGAAAGCCUGAUCCAGCAAUGCCGCGUGAGUGAUGAAGGCCUUAGGGUUGUAAAGCUCUUCUACCCGGGAUGAUAAUGACAGUACCGGGAGAAUAAGCCCCGGCUAACUCCGUGCCAGCCGCCGCCGUAA
Molecule: ribosomal RNA, 449 nt
Filed under: uncultured bacterium
Lineage: Bacteria
Description: partial 16S ribosomal RNA
Rfam family: Bacterial small subunit ribosomal RNA
Source: RNAcentral